AGGGCACCACCAGGAGUGGAGCCUGCGGCUUAAUUUGACUCAACACGGGAAAACUCGCCCGGCCCGGACACUGAAAGGAUUGACAGAUUGAGAGCUCUUUCUUGAUUCAGUGGGUGGUGGUGCAUGGCCGUUCUUAGUUGGUGGAGCGAUUUGUCUGGUUAAUUCCGAUAACGAACGAGACUCUAGCCUACUAAAUAGAUCGCCGGUUUACAAACACCGGUGAGACUUCUUAGAGGGACAGGCGGCGAUUCAGCCGCACGAAACAGAGCAAUAACAGGUCUGUGAUGCCCUUAGAUGUCCGGGGCCGCACGCGCGCUACACUGAAGUGAUCAGCGUGCAUUUUAAGCCUACUCUGCCAAGAGUGGGAAACCCAAUGAACCUUCUUCGUGAUUGGGAUAGGGGAUUGUAAUUAUUCCCCUUGAACGAGGAAUUCCCAGUAAGCGCGAGUCAUAAGCUCGCGUUGAUUACGUCCCUGCCCUUUGUACACACCGCCCGUCGCUACUACCGAUUGAAUGUUUU
Molecule: ribosomal RNA, 519 nt
Filed under: uncultured eukaryote
Lineage: Eukaryota
Description: SSU rRNA
Rfam family: Eukaryotic small subunit ribosomal RNA
Source: RNAcentral